This 1170-nucleotide ribosomal RNA is filed under the name metagenome. RNAcentral describes it as "bacterial SSU rRNA". It matches the Rfam family "Bacterial small subunit ribosomal RNA", at positions 329 to 1520 of the family's 1533-position model. The record is from RNAcentral.
GCCCAGACUCCUACGGGAGGCAGCAGCAAGGAAUAUUGUGCAAUGGGCGAAAGCCUGACACAGCGACGCCGCGUGGAGGAAGAAGGCCCUCGGGUUGUAAACUUCUUUUCCCAGGGAAGAAUAAAAUGACGGUACCUGGGGAAUAAGUUUCGGCUAACUACGUGCCAGCAGCCGCGGUAAUACGUAGGAAGCAAGCGUUAUCCGGAUUUACUGGGCGUAAAGAGAGCGUAGGCGGCCUUUCAAGUCGAAUGUAAAAUCUCCCGGCUCAACUGGGAGGGACCAUUCGAUACUGUUGGGCUGGAGUGCAGCAGAGGAAGACGGAAUUCCCGGUGUAGUGGUGAAAUGCGUAGAUAUCGGGAGGAACACCAGUGGCGAAGGCGGUCUUCUGGGCUGUGACUGACGCUGAGGCUCGAAGGCGUGGGGAGCAAACAGGAUUAGAUACCCUGGUAGUCCACGCAGUACACGAUGGAUACUAGGUAUAGGGGGUAUCGACCCCCUCUGUGCCGAAGCUAACGCUUUAAGUAUCCCGCCUGGGGAGUACGGUCGCAAGACUAAAACUCAAAGGAAUUGACGGGGGCCCGCACAAGCAGCGGAGCGUGUGGUUUAAUUCGAUGCAACGCGAAGAACCUUACCAGGGCUUGACAUGUUGAAAGUAGAAACCCGAAAGGGGGACGACCUGUUAAGUCAGGAAUCAUCACAGGUGCUGCAUGGCUGUCGUCAGCUCGUGCCGUGAGGUGUCGGGUUAAGUCCCAUAACGAGCGCAACCCCUGUUGCCAGUUAUUUUCUCUGGCGAGACUGCCCCGCAAAACGGGGAGGAAGGCGGGGAUGACGUCAAGUCAGCAUGGCCCUUAUGCCCUGGGCUACACACACGCUACAAUGGGUGGUACAAUGGGUAGCAAUGGAGCGAUCCGGAGCUAAUCCUCAAAACCAUCCUCAGUUCGGAUUGCAGGCUGAAACUCGCCUGCAUGAAGUCGGAGUUGCUAGUAACCGUAAAUCAGCACGUUACGGUGAAUACGUUCUCGGGCCUUGUACACACCGCCCGUCACGUCAUGAAAAUCGGCUACACCUGAAGUCGAUGAGCUAACCGCUUUUGUGGAGGCAGUCGCCUAGGGUGGGGUCGGUGAUUGGGACGAAGUCGUAACAAGGUAGCCAUAGCGGAAGCUGUGGCUG